This is a non-coding RNA of Microcebus murinus (gray mouse lemur), 414 nucleotides long. The record is from RefSeq and is a predicted model, not a curated record. NCBI's taxonomy places the organism in Eukaryota, Metazoa, Chordata, Mammalia, Primates, Cheirogaleidae.
CGCCCGCCUAGCGCCCCGCGAGGGCGCCCGGGAGGUCUCGGCCGGGGCCCCACCCCCAUCCGGGACGCCCAGCACCGCUUGCACACCCGCAGAGACGGGGAGCUCACCACUAACCACCGGACACUUCUCCCUGGGAUUCCCGGGCGUGCUGGCUCUCGACCCGAAUGCUCAUCCACAAGCAUAUGGGUAAACAAACUGUGGAUAUCGAUACAUUUAGUUGUCAUGUCUCCAUCUUGGUUGUGACAGUUCCUCAGAUGUUCCUUGUUUUUGACGGCCUUGACAGUUUUGAGGAGUACUGUUCAGCUGAGGCCCUGCUCUCUCCCUCCGUCAUUCUCCCUGUAAAACAUCCACAUCGGCCAGGCACAGUGGCUCAGACCUGUAAUCCUGGCACUCUGGGAAGCCAAAGCGGGUGGA